RNAcentral lists this long non-coding RNA (4045 nucleotides) under Populus tremula. RNAcentral's name for it is "long non-coding RNA (PTRE_LNC001047)". Lineage: Eukaryota; Viridiplantae; Streptophyta; Magnoliopsida; Malpighiales; Salicaceae. The record is from RNAcentral.
UAUCAUCUUUUUUGUUCUUUUUAUGCAUCUAACUGCGAUUUUAUUUCGUAGAUUGAAUAUGCUGUUAUUACUACAUUGGAUUGCUAAGUUUAUUUGAUCUUGUAUGGAGAUUUGUGUACCGUGGAUUAUUUUUUCCUUCUACUAAGGAUUUUGUAUGAAAUGAUACACAGUUGGAGUAGAUGCAUCAGUUUUUUAGUUUUUUUUUCCAAGGAGUUGGAAAUAUAAUACUUCGGAUCAUUUUGAAUUACUUUUAGUUCCAGUCAUAGGUCUGUUAAUGCCUGUAUCGGGAGAGGAGUGGUUGGCCGGGAGUUUAGGAUUUAGAGAUGACUUUUUUUGUCGUGUUGGUUGGCUUCCCCUGGAAAUUUGGGGUUGCAGAUUACUGUGAUCCCUAUCUUGCAAGUGUUAAAAAUUAAAGAGGUGAGUUUUAACUAUACUUUGUGGCGAGCAGUUUCUGAGUCUUCACUUGAAGCCAGCCCUGCUUAAAUGCAUUCAUUGCUAGUUUCCAUUUGCUUGAGAAUUUAAGUUACUUCAUCUAGUUGUCUAAUAAGAUGAAUUACUGUAAUCUUGAGAUUGAUUUUUGCUAGUAUAUAAAUUUGUUGUUGCUUAUUUGAUACAAGGUUUCCAUUUAUAUGUGAUUGGUUGAUGGUUUCCUCCAUAUUGUGAAAGCUUUCUUUGUGAGCUAUGAAUGAUUGUUGGCUGCAGUGUUUUAAACUCUGCUUUUCCAUGCAAAGCUCAAUCCAGUGGUGCUGGUGUUGAUGGAAUCCUUACUUUCUUUUCAGAUCCCUCACUUGAGACCUGCUGAAUACAAGAGGUCUCGAUUGUCUAGGAACCGCAGGACUGUGAACCGUGCCUAUGGAGGAGUCUUGUCUGGAAGCGCUGUUCGGGAGAGGUACAAUACCCUGAUGGUUUCUUGUUUUUUUUUGUUUUUUGAAGUGAUGAGACCCGCUUUAAGUGGUUUUGGUGUGUUUAUUAUGCAGAAUAAUCCGAGCCUUCUUGGUGGAGGAGCAAAAGAUUGUGAAGAAGGUUUUGAAGAUCCAGAAGUCAAAAGAAAAACAAGCCUCAAAGAGCUAGAUGAGAGGUGUAUGAAGUGGAGUUUUCCUACUUAGAGGAUGUUUCAGUAAACUUUUGUUGUUGCUUAAUGGCCAGUCAAAUGUGGAAUUGAUUAUUAGCUUGCUUGAUACUCUCAUGACUUGGAUAUGUUAAUUUUACUUAUUUUCAAUUUGAUUUCGUUGCCUAUAUUUGGAUGGUUUGCCAAUUUCCUUUGAUUCCAUGUUCUUGCAUAGUGCCUAAAUAUAUCUAAAAUUAGCAUGUCUCCAGCAAGUCUGAAUUCUUCCAAUUGCUCCCAGUCUCAUCAUGAUCUCUUUUCUCAUUUUUUUGCCACAACAAUUUGACAUACAUUUCAGUCCUGCAUAUUCAACAGAUAAUUUUAAUAAUAGAUCAUAAGUGAAGUUCUUGUUUGUGAUCUUUAGCACUUUUAAAGUCAAUUUUAUUACUGAGUUAUGAAAAUUAAAAUUUUAGGGGGCAAUCCCCUUUGAUUUUCAAACAAGGGCAUUGGAAUUAGUUUAGGAUUGACGGGGGCUCAUGCCGCUGGAGUUGUUAGUCUCUAUGAAUGCUAUUGCAUGGUCUUUAAAUAUUUUGAAAUCUUAAAAUAUAUUUUUUAAAAAAUAUAUUAAAAUAAUAUUUUUUUAUUUUAAAAAAAAUUACUUGUAAUAUCAAUACUUAAAAAAGAAAUUUAUUUUUAAUUAUCUAGAUAAAUUAAAAAGAAAUUAAACCUAAAAAAAAAAAAAGAUUGGAAUUUAAUACCAAAAACUUGACAAUUGAAAUUUGCAUUUGGAGAGCAAGCAUUGAUUCAAUGAUUUGUGCUUCUGCCUCCCAGAUUGUGAGGGACUGCAGCCCUGCACCUUGCAACUGAUGUCGAGAUAAUUUAUGUGAUUUAGGUAGCUUCUAGUGCUAUUCACUCUUAGCAAGGAGGAUAGACAGGGGACAAAAAAACAUACAGCUUGAGGCAUUCAUUUAAAACUUGACCUCGGCUAGAUCUUGUACAAGGUACAACUCAUGUAUUUAGAGGGGUGGGUUGAUUAAAAAAAUAUUUUUUAAAAUAAUAAAAAUAAGUUUUUAUUUCAUGAAAAAAAUCUCUUGUGAAUUGAUCAGGUCACAGUUAAUUCUAAUAUUUUACCUGAUGAAUCAUUUAUUUAUUUAUUUUUUACUUGAAGCAGUUUAGAUCUUGAAUUCGCUAUAUCUCAACGAAGUUUAAUUUUAUAAUUAGUGAUGAGUACAAUCAUAGAGUGAAGGUAACAUGUUUAUAUGAUUUUAUCAAAAUAAUUUUAUGUGAUAAAAAAACAAAAAAAACAAAAAUUCUAUGAAAAUUAUUACAUUAAUCUGUUCUAUUCCAUCAUGGUGUGAGUCUCCUACACUGGUCCGAGUCCAACCGACUAAGGUUGUAUCGUGUUGUUGUUAUUGAGAUUUGAGAAUGAAGGUUUGCCACAAGAUCAAUGGGGAAAUACAAUGAAAUUGUCAAAUUAGUUUGGACUGGUUAUUGGGCCUUAAACUCCAGUCUUUAGCCCAGUCUACUAGGCUGGAGCAUUGCAGUCUUGGACAUGAGCCGAUAAUUCUUAGGCCCACCUUAAGCUCCAUUGGGCGUAUCGUUUUGCAUUAGGGUUUCAAAGAAACCCUAGCUAUAAACGCUCUCCCGUCUUCCCUUUUGUAUGCACACCAUACACAAACACGGAGACUGAAGAGCUGAUCCGAAGAUGGUGCAGCGUCUGACUUACCGGAAGCGUCACAGCUACGCCACCAAGUCUAACCAACACCGUGUGGUGAAAACACCUGGUAAGUUAGCAACAUGUCCAUUACAUCAUAUGUAUUGUUGAAUCUUUCUUUUUCUUCUUCUGUUUUUUGUUAAUGCUAAAGAAAAUAGCGAAUUGGGUAAUGAGUUUUUGUUGCUGUUCGGUUUAUGGUUUGAAGGUGGGAAAUUGAUUUACCAAACCACCAAGAAGAGAGCUAGCGGACCCAAGUGCCCAGUUACUGGCAAGAGGAUUCAAGGGGUAUUGUUUUUGUAUCAUCUUUUUUUUUUCUUUUUAUGCAUCUAACUGGGAUGUUAUUUAUUAGAUUGAAUCUGCUGUUAUUACUACAUUGGAUUGCUAAGUUUAUUUGAUCUUGUAUGGAGAUUUGUGUGCCGUGGAUUAUUUUGUCCUUCAUACUAAGGAUUUCUUAAGAAAUGAUACUCAGUUGGUGUAGAUGCAUUAGUUUUUUAGUUUAUUAGUUUUUUGGUUACGAGUUGGAAAUAAAAUAUUUCGAAUCAUUUUGAAUUACUUUUACGGUUCUAGCCAUAGGUCUGCUAAUGCCUGUAUCCGGAGAGGAGUGGUUUGCUGGGAGUUUAGGAUUUAGAUAUGACUUUUUUGUCGUGUUGGCUGGUUUCCCCCAAAAAUUUGGGGUCGCAUUGUACUGCAAUCACUAUCUUGCAAGUGUUAAAAAUUAAAGGGGUGAGUUUUAACUAUACUUUGUUGCUUUGUGGCGAGCAGUUUCCAAGUCUUCCCUUGAAGCCAGCCCUGCUUAAAAGCACUUCAUUGCCAUUUUCCAUUUCCUUGAGAAUUUAAGUUACCUAGUCUAGUUGUCUAAUAAGAUGAAUUACAGUAAUCUUGAUAAUGAUUUUUGCUGGUAUAUAAAUUUGUUAUUGCUUAUUUGAUACAAGGUUUCCAUUUAUAUGUGAUUGGUUGAUGGUUUCCUCCAUAUUGUGAAAGAUUUAUUUCUGAGCUAUGAAUGAUUGUUGGCUGCAGUGUUUUAAAACCCGCUUUUCUUUACAAAGCUCAAUACAGUGGUGCUGGUUUUGAUGGAAUCCUUACUUUCUUUUCAGAUCCCUCACUUGAGACCUGCUGAAUACAAGAGGUCUAGAUUGUCUAGGAACCGCAGGACUGUGAACCGUGCCUAUGGAGGAGUCUUGUCUGGAAGCGCUGUUCGGGAGAGGUACGAUACCCGGAUGGUUUCUUUUUUGUUUUGUUUUUUGAAGUGAUGAAGACCCGCUUUAAGUGGUUUUGGUGUGUUUAUU